GGGGCCGGUUGGUUGUUUGCGUGCUGGUUUGCACCGCAAGCGCACGACCGUGCGCCGUGGCAGCUGAGCGCCUUGCGCGAAGAGCAGCGUUGCCACGUCCCACGAAAACGGGCCGGUAGCUCAGGUGGUUAGAGCGCACGCCUGAUAAGCGUGAGGUCGGAGGUUCAAGUCCUCCUCGGCCCACCAUCUUGGUUGCGCUACCGCCUAUCGGCUGCUUGAGCGCUGGCUGGUUUGCACCACAAGCGCACGACCGUGCGCCGUGGCAGCCUGAGCGCUGUGCGCGAAGAUCGGCGUUGCCACGUUACACAGAAACUGGGGCCAUAGCUCAGUUGGGAGAGCGCGUGCUUUGCAAGCAUGAGGUCGUCGGUUCGAUCCCGUCUGGCUCCACCA
RNAcentral lists this transfer RNA (390 nucleotides) under Roseibium aquae. RNAcentral's name for it is "transfer-messenger RNA". The stretch from base 110 to 183 matches the Rfam family "tRNA". Lineage: Bacteria; Pseudomonadati; Pseudomonadota; Alphaproteobacteria; Hyphomicrobiales; Stappiaceae. The record is from RNAcentral.